CCGAUAUAAAUGGGGGGUAAGAACGUUGAACUACCCUAAAAUUACUCGUCAUCGUCUCGCCGGCAAUGGCACGCUUGGCAAAGUACUACAAACUAAACGUGUUGACACUUCUUCCUCCGAUUUGCUUUUAUUUUGAACGUUGCGUGAGCAUAGACAAUGAUCUCUAAAGCUAAAGUGAAGGUUUUGGACAACCAUGGAACAUAAACAUGUAAACUAAAUUUUGUGGCAUGUUCAAAUAAACUACAUAUGAAUAUGGCACAUGUUUGCCUAAACUUUUAUAUUUCAAAUUCUCCUACUAAAUAACAUAUAAUCUCUAUGGCAUUCAGAGUCUAGCCUUGUUUAAAAGCAAUUCAUGUGCCGCGAUUUUGUUUAGUGAUUGCGUUCGUCUUUUUAAUAGUACCAAGGGAACUCAUCGACAUUAAACGCACUGCCAGUAUUCAAUGUCGGAAUACACCAUAAGUGUUCUUAAAGCAGUGUCCAUGGGCUCAAGAUGGAAACAAAUUGCAACUUACUCCUUUAUUGACGGACUCGAAAAGUUGUGUGGACCCCACUUCAAAAGCGCG
This is a non-coding RNA of Bactrocera oleae (olive fruit fly), 563 nucleotides long. NCBI's taxonomy places the organism in Eukaryota, Metazoa, Arthropoda, Insecta, Diptera, Tephritidae. The record is from RefSeq and is a predicted model, not a curated record.